Molecule: long non-coding RNA, 612 nt
Filed under: Marmota monax (woodchuck)
Lineage: Eukaryota; Metazoa; Chordata; Mammalia; Rodentia; Sciuridae
Source: RNAcentral
UGUAGGGAGAGCUGCAUUUGAAAUGGGAAAGUUGCUGGGCCUGGUGGCACAUGCCAGUGAUCCCAGCAGCCUGGGGAAGCUGAGGCAAGAAGAUCACAAGUUGGAAGCUCACCUGGGUAGCUUAGCUAGACUCUGUCUCAAAUAAAAAGGGUUGAGGAUAUAGCUCAGUAGUAAAGUACUCCUGGGUUCAAUCCCCAGUACUAAAAAGGAAAAAAAAAAAUGAAGUGGGUAAGUUUUGGGACUAGAGAUAGGGAGUAAGGAGAAAGAAUUGAAGGUUAGAGAGUGGAGAGAAUCCAACUUCCUUAUCUUUGAGAAAGAUGAAUAUAGGGUGGGGUGAUGACAGCACUAAAAUUAGGAAGGUUUAACUUCCUUGCCUGACCCAGUUAUUAAAGAGGUUUCAUGCAGGAUAAAUGGCUCCUUGAAUCUUGAAAGAUUCUAUUAUUUAUCACAUUUUGAUUGUUAACAUUAUAAAAUUCACAACUGGACACUGCAGUUUAAUCACAGCAAUGUUCCUCAAAUUUUGCAGCACAGUGGAAUUACCUGGAAUUUUAAAAAUAUUGGUCUGGACCCCAGUUAAAUCUUGCGGAGGAUGAGAUCGUAUAUAAACAUGCU